Molecule: ribosomal RNA, 514 nt
Filed under: uncultured Gemella sp.
Lineage: Bacteria; Bacillati; Bacillota; Bacilli; Caryophanales; Gemellaceae
Description: bacterial SSU rRNA
Rfam family: Bacterial small subunit ribosomal RNA
Source: RNAcentral
CCGUCGCGCAACGGCGAACGCUGGCGGCGUGCCUAAUACAUGCAAGUCGAGCGAAGUUUUCUGGUGCUUGCACUAGAAAACUUAAGCGGCGAACGGGUAGAGUAACACGUAAAGAACCUAGCUCAUAGGCUGGACAACUAUUGGAAACGAUAGCUAAUACCGGAUAACAGCAUUAACUGCAUGGUUGAUGUUUAAAAGUUAGGUUUUUGUCUAACACUAUGAGAUGGCUUUGCGGUGCAUUAGCUAGUUGGUGGGGUAAAGGCCUACCAAGGCGACGAUGCAUAGCCGACCUGAGAGGGUGAUCGGCCACACUGGGACUGAGACACGGCCCAGACUCCUACGGGAGGCAGCAGUAGGGAAUCUUCCGCAAUGGGCGGAAAGCCUGACGGAGCAACGCCGCGUGAGUGAAGAAGGAUUUCGGUUCGUAAAGCUCUGUUGUUAGGGAAGAAUGAUUGUGUAGUAACUAUACACAGUAGAGACGGUACCUAACCAGAAAGCCACGGCUAACUACGUG